UACGAAGGGGGCUAGCGUUGCUCGGAAUCACUGGGCGUAAAGCGCACGUAGGCGGAUCUUUAAGUCAGGGGUGAAAUCCUGGAGCUCAACUCCAGAACUGCCUUUGAUACUGGGGAUCUCGAGUCCGGAAGAGGUGAGUGGAACUCCGAGUGUGGAGGUGAAAUUCGUAGAUAUUCGGAAGAACACCAGUGGCGAAGGCGGCUCACUGGUCCGGUACUGACGCUGAGGUGCGAAAGCGUGGGGAGCAAACAGGG
This 254-nucleotide ribosomal RNA is filed under the name uncultured bacterium. Its description in RNAcentral is "partial 16S ribosomal RNA". It matches the Rfam family "Bacterial small subunit ribosomal RNA", at positions 524 to 777 of the family's 1533-position model. The record is from RNAcentral.